GACGAACGCUGGCGGCGUGCCUAAUACAUGCAAGUAGAACGCUUAAGGAGGAUCUUUCUUCUCUGUAUGAGUUGCGAACGUGUGAGUAACGCGUAUGUAACCUGCCUUGUAGCGUGGUAUAACUAUUGGAAACGAUAGCUAAUACCGCAUAAUAGUAGAUGUUGCAUUACAUUUUCUUAAAAGUUGCAAUUUCAUCACUACCAGAUGGACCUUCGUUGUAUUAGCUAGUUGGUGUGGUAACGGCUCACCAAGGCGACGAUACAUAGCCGACCUGAGAGGGUGAGCGGCCAAACUGGGAGUGAGACAAGGCACAGAAUCCUAAGGGAGGCAGCAGUAGGGAAUCAUCGGAAAUGGACGGAAGUCUGACCGAGAAACGCCGCGUGAGUGAAGAAGGUUUUCGGAUCGUAAAGAUCUGUUGUAAGAGAAGAAAGAGUGUGAGAGUGGAAAGUUCACAAUGUGACGGUAACUUACAAGAAAGGGACGGCUAACUACGUG
This 495-nucleotide ribosomal RNA is filed under the name uncultured bacterium. Its description in RNAcentral is "partial 16S ribosomal RNA". It matches the Rfam family "Bacterial small subunit ribosomal RNA", at positions 28 to 507 of the family's 1533-position model. The record is from RNAcentral.